CUCCCCUCGCUGGGCAGUCGGAGGGGACGGGACGCACCGGAGGGCGGGCGGACUCGCCCUGUCGGUGACUGCGCGGUCCUGGCGCGUCCUGCCUGGCCGCAGGUGCCCUGGAUGAGGCCGCCCCGCGGGUCCCGAACGGUAACUUGACUGACUCAGGUAAAUGUCAACCUUCUGAAGACUGCUCUCUCUGGCUGCUGAAUCCCAGUGUGGCAGACAUUUACGACCAGAGCCUUGCACAGCCCAGAAGGGAGGCCCUUGGGUUCCUGUGGCAUCACCUGGAUCUUCACCUCCUGCUUCCUGAGCUCAUGACCGCUGUGAUGGGAUGGCCCCAUCUUGCUUUCUGGGGUGCUGUUCCAGGAGCUGUCACUAGAGCCCAUGAUCCCUGCCAGCUGUCCUAGUGGUCACUCAGUCCUGUCACCAGGCCUCUGCAUUUCUGCUGGCUUUCUCAACACCUGCUCAGGUGCUGUCUCAGACUCCCCUACCUCCUACUUCCUGCACUACCUCCACGUCUUCGUAUGGGUGCUUCUCCUGGACCCAGUGUUCCUGGAGAAGGGUGUCUAUUCCAGACACUCCCUGUGGCCUUCAGACAUCUGCUUGCUUUAAAAACUCCAAACUUGGCAGAUGACCAGGUUUGGCUGUGAUGCUGCUGCCCGGGUCAGAAUGUCAUACAGGCUAUCCCCCAACAGGCUACGCACCUUUCCCUGGAUAUCCUCCUGCAGGUCAGGAGUCAUCUUUUCCCCCUUCUGGUCAGUAUCCUUAUCCUAGUGGCUUUCCUCCAAUGUGGGGAGGUGCCUACCCACAAGUGCCAAGUAGUGGCUAUCCAGGAGCUGGAGGCAACCCUGCACCUGGAGGUUAUCCAGCCCCUGGAGGCUAUCCUGGUGCCCCACAGCCAGGGGGAGCUCCAUCCUAUCCUGGAGUUUCUCCAGGCCAUGGAUUUGGAGUCCCACCAGGUGGAGCAGACUUUUCUGGCUAUCCACAGCCACCUUCACAGUCUUAUGGAGGUGGUCCAGCACAGGUCCCACUACCUGGUGGUUUUCCUGGAGGACAGAUGCCUUCUCAGUAUCCUGGAGGACAGCCUACUUACCCUAGUCGGCCUGCCACAAUGACUCAGGGCACUCAAGUAACUAUCCAACCAGCUGCCAACUUCAACGCUAUGAGAGAUACAGAAAUUCUCCAUAAGGCAAUGAAGCGUUUUGGGACAGACGAGCAGGCAAUUGUGGAUGUGGUGGCCAACUGUUCCAAUGAUCAGAGGCAAAAAAUUAAAGCAGCAUUAAAGACCUCGUAUGGCAAGGAUUUGAUCAAAGAUCUCAAAUUAGAAUUAAGUGGAAAUAUGGAAGAACUGAUCCUGGCCCUAUUCAUGACUCCUACAUAUUAUGAUGCCUGGAGCUUACGAAAAGCAAUGCAGGAACUCAGGAACGUGUAUUGAUUGAAAUUUUGUGCACAAGAACAAAUCAGGAAAUCUAAGAAAUCAUCAAAUGUUAUCAGUCAGAAUUUGGACGAGACCUUGAAAAGGACAUUAGGUCAGAUACAUCAGGACAUUUUGAAUGCAUACUUGUGUCCAUGUGCCAAGGAAAUCUUGAUGAAAACCACAGUGUAAACCACCAAAUGCCUCAGGAAGAUGCUCAGCGUCUCUAUCAAGCUGGUGAGGGGAGACUAGGGACCGAUGAAUCUUGCUUUAACAUGAUCCUUGCCACGAGAAGCUUUCCUCAGCUGAGAGCUACCAUGGAGGCUUAUUCCAGGAUGGCUAAUCGAGAUUUGUUAAGCAGUGUGAGCCAUGAGUUUUCUGGAUAUGUGGAGAGUGGUUUGAAGACCAUCUUACAGUGCCCUGAACCGCCCUGUCUUCUUUGCUGAGAGGCUCUACUACACUAUGAAAGGUGCUGGCACAGAUGACUCCACCCUGUUCAGGACUGUGGUAACUCGAAGUGAAAUCGAUCUUGUACAAAUAAAACAAGUGUUCGCUCAGAUGUAUCAGAAGACCCUGGGCACAAUGAUUGCAGGUGACACGAGUGGAGAUUACCGGACACUUUUUCUGGCUAUUGUGGGCAGUAGGAGAGAUUUAUUUUUUUAAUGAAUGAAGCUAUUCACAGCUUAUCCUUCAGAGCAAUGACCUGCAUGCAGCAAUAUCAACCAUCAGCUAACCAAAAGAGCUUUCUAUCAGGGACCAUAUCAGGGUAAUGUGCUUGGUUUGCACAUGUUGUUAUUGCCUUAAUUCUAAUGUUAUUUUGUUCUCUACAUAUAAUCGAUGUAAAGCCAUAUCACAAUGAUACAGUAAUACUGCAAUGUUUGUAAAGCUUCAUUCUUACUAGUUUCAUUCUAAUCAAGAUGUCAAAUUGAAUUAAAAAAAUCACAGCAAUCUCAAAAAAAAAAAAAAAAAAACUCCCAACUUGCCAGGUUGUCCCCUGACACAUCGGUGGGGAAGAUAAUAACGGUAGAGGCAGAGAAGAGCUCUGGCUCCUGAGCUACCUGUUCUCUCUCUAUUCUCCUUCCCCUUCCACAAUCUAUGAGGAUAGAAGGGAUAUGCUUUCCUUCAUCAUCUUCUAAAAUGUAAUCAGCCAGACCUACCUCCUGAUGUGCUAAGUGAGAGUCAAAAGAAUUUAGUAAACGUUUUCUCUCUCAACAUCUAGCUUUCCAUCUGAGACUCAAACAUUACUCCAAUGUACAAGAACCUACAGAACAAUGUUUACAGGAUAUGAAAAUUUAUCUAAAAAUAAUUCCAGAAAGUAUCAACCCCAUUGCAGACACAUGUUAGUUCAACAGGAGAGACUAACUAGACCGACACUUAAUUCCAAACAUAAUAUCAUCUAUGUGUCCUUGUGUAGGGAAUGUUGAACAACACGAACACCAUCUCCAAUACUUACAUGGCAAACCUUCUUCCAAUAGCUGCUUGUUCUAUUAACCCUCCAUAAAAGUAGGCCAGAGCAUUAGGCACUUUUCUGGGGAAAGGGGCUGAUCCUGGAGAAUCUAGUUGUGCUAUAUCUGGUGUUCUCCCAUCUGGAUGCAGCUUAGACACCCCAGAUCAAUAGCAUAGCAUAGUGUAGCAUAGCGUAGCGUAGCAUAGCAUAGCAUAGCAUAGCAUAGCAUAGCAUAGCAUAGCAUAGCAUAGCAUAGCAUAGCAUAGCAUAGCAUAGCAUAGCAUGUGUCACUUCUUUCAGCCAGAGCUAGGAGGUGGGGGCAAAGGCACGGUCCAUCUCUCUCACCCUGGAGGAGGGCAGAGAGAAUUUCAAAAAGGGAUAUGGGCACAGCCAACUAUUGGCCAUCACAGUUUUUUUGACGAUUAGUCAUGAUUCAAAAUAUGAACCAGAAAUGGCUUGAGAGUUUGAGGAGGAAUGGGGUUUUGAGAGGAAAUGACUCAACAAAUACGGAUUAUUGGAGCAGAGAUCAGACUCCAGGAUCUUCUACACUCAAGCUACAGAGAUGCAACUAUCAGAAGUCUGGAUAUGGCUAGGUGGUUCAUGCCCAUAAUCCCAACACUUUGGGAGGCUGAGAUGGGAAGAUCACUUGAACCCACGAGUUUGAAACCAGCUUGGGCAACAUGGUGAAACCUUGUCUGUACGAAAAAUACAAAAAUUAGCCAGGCAUGGUGGUCUAUGCCUGUAGUCCCAGCUACUCGGGAGGCUGAGGUGGCAGGAAGGCUUGAGCUGGGGAGGUAGAGGUUGCAGUGAGCUGAGAUUGUGCCAGUGCACUACAGCCCAGGCAGUAGAGCCAGACUUGUCUCAAAAACAUAAAGUCUGGAUAUAAAUUAUGAUUCUUAGUCUCACUCUAGAAGGCUGUGAGUAGUUGCUUGAGCCAGAAAGAAGAUGAUUACAAGGAAAAUCAAGACUUUUGCAUUGGAAAGAGAUCAUCUUUCCAACCACUGCCUUUGAGAUGGAGAAAAGAAAAAUGGACGGUCACUAUCACUACUUACAUUAAUGUUAUACUAGGAAUCCUAUCCAUUUCAACAAAGAAGAAAAAGGGCCAGGCACGGUGACUCAUGCCUUUAAUCCUAGCACUUUGGAGGCCAAGGUGGGUGGAUCAUCUGAGGUCAGGAGUUCAAGACCAGCCUGGCCAACGUGAUGAGACCCUAUCUCUACUAAAAAUACAAAAAUUAGGUAUGGUGGCAUGCACCUGUAAUCCCAACUACUCAGGGGACUGAGGCAGAAGAAUUGCUUGAACCUGGGAGACGGAGGUAGCAGUGAGCAAAGAUCAUUCCACUGCACUCCAGCCUGGAUGACAGAGUGAGACUCUGUUGAAAGAAAAGAGAGAGAGAAGAAAGGAAAGAAGGAAGGAAGGGAAGGAAGGAAGGAAGGAGGGAAGGAAGAAAGGAAGGAGAAAAGAUAGAGAAAAAGAGAGAGAGGAGAGAAAGAAGAAAGAGAAAGAGAAAGAAAGGGAAGGAGGAAGGAAGGAAGGAAGAGAAAGAGAGAAAGGGACUUAAGUUUGGGGAAGAUGAGACAAACUGUUAAAUAUGUACAGACAAUAUUAUUGUUUAAAUAGAAAAUCCCAAGUUAUUAGACCAAGUAAAAGAGUUUAGCAUGAUUGCUGGGUAUAAAAUUAACAUGCAAAUCACAAGUUUAUUUCAACAGAUGGGCAAUAAACAUUGAGAAAAUAAAAAAUUUUAAAGUGAUCAUUUACAUUUGCAACACAAGUGAAGUAUUUAUGAAUAAGUCCAACAAAAUGUGUGCUGAUUUUGUAUAAAAUAUUGAACUUUAUUGAGAGACAUUAAAGAAUGCACUAAUAAAUGCAGACAUACUAUAUUUAUGGAUGAAUGAGUCUAUAUUGUAAAUAUGCCAUUUUUCCCAACUUUCUAUGUAGAUUCAAUGCAUCACAAUCAAAAUCCCAACACAUUUUUUGCAUGUAGAACUUGGUAAGCUUAUUGUAAAGUUCAUAUGAAAGUGCAAUAAUUAUAAGAACAGGUGAUGGAAUUGCCCUACCAGGUAUCAUGACUUAUUAUAAAGCCAUAGUAAUUAAGAGUGUGACAUUAGCAUAGCCAUAGAGAAAUAGAUGAAUAAAACAGAAGAGAGAGACAUGAACAGACUCACACAUAUAUGGAUACUUGAUAUAUGACUGAUGGGAGAUUAUAGGGCAGUGGGAAAAAGACUUUUUAAGAAAUGAUACUGGAGGGAAAAAAGAGCUAAAGGGGAAAAAAUGAGUCUCUACUUCACACCACAUACUAAAAUCUCUUUCAUUUGGAAUAAAGAGCUAAAUUGAAAAGUAAAACUAUAAACCUUUUAAAAAAAGGAGCGAAGCAAAUACUUUUGUGGUCUCAGAGCAAGAGUUCUUAAAUGAGAUAUAAAAGUAAGGAAUUAGCUGGGCACGAUGGCUCACACCUGUAAUCUCAGCACUUUGGGAGGCCGAGUUGGGUGGAUUACCUGGGGUCAGGAGUUUGAGACCAGCAUGACCAACAUAGUGAAACCCUGUCUCUACUAAAAAUACAAAAAUUAGCCAGGCCUGGUUGCACACACCUGUAAUCGCAGCUACUCGGGAGGCUGAGGCAGGAGAAUUGCUUCGACCCAGGAGGUGGAGGUUGCAGUGAGCUGAGAUUAUGCCAUUGUGCUUCCAGGCUGGGUAGCAAGAGCAAAACUCCAUCUCAAACAAUCAAAUAAUAAAUAAAUAGGUCCAUGAAGUAGAUUGGCAUUAAAAUUAAGCACCUCUGUUUAUCAAAAGUUAUUAUAAAAGUUGGUGAUAUUAAAUUGUUGAAAAUAUUGUUAGGUGUCAUACUGGUAUUGUGGUUAUGUUAUGAAGAGAGAUAAAUUUUGAGAUAAAUCCUCAAAAUUUUAUGAUGAAUAGUGUUUUAGAUUUGCUUAAAAAUGAAGCUAGAGGAGCAGAAGCUAAAAAGGUGUAAGUGAAACAAGAUUGUCCAUGGAAUUAUGAUUGUUGAAGCUGAGUGAUAGGUACAAGGAGAUUGAUCAUAUUAUUCUAUCUACUUUUGGAUAUGUUUGGAAUUUUAUCAUAAAUAACUUUGUGAGAGAGAGAAGACUGAGGAGGGACUAUAAAGAGAUUAAAACAGGCCGGGCACAGUGGCUCAAGCCUGUAAUCCCAGCACUUUGGGAGGCCGAGGCAGGUGGAUCAUGAGGUCAAAAGAUUGAGACCAACCAUCCUGGUCAACAUGGUGAAACCCCGUCUCUACUAAAAAUACAAAAAAAUUAGCUGGGCACGGUGGUACAUGCCAGUAAUCCCAGCUACUCAGGAGGCUGAGGCAGGAGAAUUGCCUGAACCCAGGAGGCGGAGGUUGUGGUGAGCCGAGAUCGCGCCAUUGCCCUCCAGCCUGGGUAACAAGAGCGAAACUCCAUCUCAAAAAAAAAAAAAAAAAAGGGGAGAGAUAGAGAGAUGAAAACAAACCACAAACUGGAACUACACAUAACCAAUGAAGAACAUAGAAAAAACUAAAAAUCAAGGGAAAAAACCAGUUUUUCAAAGGUAACAGACUUGAACAGACAAGUCUGAAAAGUGGAAAUCCAAAUAGGUAAGAAACAAAAAAACAGCUCAACUUCAUUAAUAAUCUGGGAAAUAAAAAUUUAAACCACAAUAAGAUACCAUUUUGUAUCCCCCAGAUUGGAAAAAUUAAGUCUGUAAUACCAAGAGAUGACAAGGAUGCAGAUGCCUCUGGGAGUAUAACUUGGUACCGCCAAUGUGGAAACCAACCAGACUUGAUCUAGUAAUGGUAAAGACCAUGUCAUCCAGCAACUUUAUUGCUAAACACCCUAGGGCAACCCAUGCAUGUGUGCGCCAGAGACAAGAAAACUUCCAGCAACAACAUUGGUGAGGACCUAACACCGGGAACAACUCAAACGUCCAUCAACCAUAAAAUGCAUAAACUGUGAGCUUGUAUGAUAUAUGAAAUCUCAUCAGUGAAAAUAUAUACAAUGAAACUGUAGCUAUGCUGACCAAGUGAAGCGAAUGAUAAAAGAAUGCACACAGUAUAUUUAUUCCCAAGUUUGAAAAAUAACUAAACUAGUGGGUUAAACUAUAUCAAGCUGUAUGAAAUUGCAGAGAUUCAGCUACUUUUCUCUUACAAAUGGCGUUUAUUAUUCACUCUAAUACUGUUUAGGGUGCAUGCAUAAAUGGUAAAACCAUAAAAAAAGCAAGGUUCAAUCAGACAUUUUCUGAUUCACAGAAAAGUUAGGAUAGUGUUACCUCUGAAGGAAAGAAGGGAGAUUUGACUGGGGAAGGAUCUGUGAUGUUGGUAGUGAGGAACUUCACAGGUACUAGUGAUGUUCUAGUCGAUUUAUUUAUCUCAUGGGUGGUCAAAAAAAUUGCCUUAUUUAUUUAUUUAUUUAUUAUUUUAGAGACAGGGCUUUGCUCUGUUGCCUAAGCUGGAGUGGCAUGAUCAUGGUUCACUGCAGCCUCCAACUGCUGGGCUCAAGUGAUCCUCCAGCCUCAACCUCCCGAGUAGCUGGUAUCACCAGCACAUGCCAUCAUGCCCAGCUAAUUUUUUUAUGUUUUGUAGAGAUGGGUUCUUGCUAUGUUGCGCAGGUUGGUUAUGAACUUACUGGGCUCAAGUGAUCCUGCUGCUUGACCUCCCAGAGUACCGGGAUUACAGGCGGGAGCCGCCAUGCCCAGCUAAUGUUUGCUUUAUAGUUCUACUUUAAACGAUGCAUAUGUUUUACACAUUUAAAAUGGUUUUAUUUUUUAAAUAAAAAGAGGAAAUAAAACCGUAGAUGCAGGUUCUGAACUCAGGGCACACUAGCCAAGCAAGAGAUCAGGGCACAGUUGAGAGAUGGAGAGAGCAGGGCAUCUGCUGCUGAAGGAUAGGGGACUAUGUCACAGAUAACCUGUAAUGGUUUGUUUUGCAUUGUCUUGUUUUUCCCAGAUAACAAUUUUAAUACAGUUAUUAUUCUACCCAGAAUGCUGAAUAUGACAAAUUGAUUUAUUCAUGACUUUACUUGUAAUUAUGUAUAUAAUAAAUUACUUAAGUGUGUUUCCCCAGCAGAGAAUGAGCCCCCAGGGGCAAGGCCUGGGAAGUUUUCAUGCUUGUACCAGUAAAGCAGAGUGCCUAACGCUGUAGCUUCUCAAUUAAAAGGUCACUGAAAGGAUGGACUCCAGAUGAAUGGAUGGACAAGUAGACGGAUGGACAGACACCUUAGGGAGUUUUGUUUUAUUUUAUUUUGAGACAGAGUCUCACUGUGUCUCCCAGGCUGGAGUGCAGUGGCAUGAUCUCGGCUCACCACAACCACCACCUCCUGGGUUCAAGCGAUUCUCCUGCCUCAGCCUACUGAGUAGCUGGGAUUACAGGUGUGUGCCACCAUGCCUGGCUAAUUUUGUAUUUUUAGUAGAGACGGGGUUUCUCCAUGUCUGUCAGGCUGGUCUCAAACUCCCAACUUCAGGUGGUCCGCCCGCCUCAACCUCCCAAAAUGCUUGGGAUUACAGGUGUCAGCCACCAUGCCUGGCCAGGGGUUUUAUUUUCAGAAUUAGUGAAGGGAUUUUUUUUUAAAUCUCCCGUGGUGAAUGGAGUGGUUUUAUAAACAUCAAAGUGCUGGUGUGGUAUAAACAGAGACUACAGCAUAUUUAAUGAUUUAGUGAAUGGGACAACGCAUUCCGUAUUUUGAGUGCUUCGUUAAGUCCCCAUCUUAUUAUGCUGUUGGCAUUUGUC
Molecule: non-coding RNA, 8566 nt
Organism: Callithrix jacchus (white-tufted-ear marmoset)
Lineage: Eukaryota; Metazoa; Chordata; Mammalia; Primates; Cebidae
Source: RefSeq, a predicted model, not a curated record